AUUGAACGCUGGCGGCAGGCUUAACACAUGCAAGUCGAGCGGGGUGAUGGUGCUUGCACUAUCACUUAGCGGCGGACGGGUGAGUAAUGCUUAGGAAUCUGCCUAUUAGUGGGGGACAACAUCUCGAAAGGGAUGCUAAUACCGCAUACGUCCUACGGGAGAAAGCAGGGGAUCACUUGUGACCUUGCGCUAAUAGAUGAGCCUAAGUCGGAUUAGCUAGUUGGUGGGGUAAAGGCCUACCAAGGCGACGAUCUGUAGCGGGUCUGAGAGGAGGAUCCGCCACACUGGGACUGAGACACAGCCCAGACUCCUACGGGAGGCAGCAGUGGGGAAGAUUGGACAAUGGGGGGAACCCUGAUCCAGCCAUGCCGCGUGUGUGAAGAAGGCCUUAUGGUUGUAAAGCACUUUAAGCGAGGAGGAGGCUCUUUUGGUUAAUACCCAAGAUGAGUGGACGUUACUCGCAGAAUAAGCACCGGCUAACUCUGUGCCAGCAGCCGCCGUAA
This 503-nucleotide ribosomal RNA is filed under the name uncultured bacterium. RNAcentral describes it as "partial 16S ribosomal RNA". It matches the Rfam family "Bacterial small subunit ribosomal RNA", at positions 30 to 523 of the family's 1533-position model. The record is from RNAcentral.